This is a long non-coding RNA of Piliocolobus tephrosceles (Ugandan red Colobus), 1913 nucleotides long. NCBI's taxonomy places the organism in Eukaryota, Metazoa, Chordata, Mammalia, Primates, Cercopithecidae. The record is from Ensembl.
GGAAAACUGCUACGAAAGAAUAUAAUGCAAUAGUAAAUAUCUAUGACUACGUGGACACCUGCGCGAACACACAAACGAAUUUGAAACGGAACCAUCAAAUGGCUUACCAAAUUGAUCCUCGAAUGGGCAAAGUCGUAUACGAUAAAAAUAUAAAGAAUAAACAAGAGGACAAAAAUAAGGAGAACAACGAAGAUAAAGACAAAGACAAAAGCAAAGACGCAAACGCAAACGCAAACGCAAACGCAAACGCAGACGCAGACGCAGACGCAGACAUGUAUACAAAACAUACCAAAAGAAAGUAUCAAAAAAUUGAUGAAUUCAUUAAAGCCAAAGAAAAUUUAUAUAAUGAGAAAAAAAAAGAUAAUAAUGAAAAUAAUCCAUUAUUUGUGCCUAUACGUAAUAAGUACGACGUUUUUAAAAAAAUGAAUACAAUAAUAAUACCAAACGAAACAAAAAUAAAAAAAACAGACAAAGGCAAAGAAAAUAUGAACCGUUGCCCAAAUAGUGACAUCAAAUUUGAAAAGAAUAUAAUACAAAAUAAAAAUGUAAUAACAAAUAAAAUAGAUAACAAAACAAAUAACGAUGAUAUAUUUUUAAUAGAUUACUCUAAAUUCUUAUUUAUAGAUACGCAAAAUGAAAACAAAACGAAUAAUUAUUUAAACGAAAUAAAAAAAAAAAAAGAUAACUAUUUUGUAGAAAAAGAUGAAAUUAAUAAAAUAAAAAAUUUUUACGUAAAAUUAGCGAUAAAGAAAAAAAAAUAUGCACACUUUUGGCAUAUGUUUUUUCAUAUCCUAUUAAAUUUUUGUAACGUUUAUGAAUUGGAUAAUGUUCAUUAUGAUUAUAAUAGUAGGGGGGGAACUGACAAUGAUAUGGGGAAGGAAAAACGUGAUAAAGGACAUACGGGUUGUGGUAGGGAGCAUACGUAUUAUGGUAGAGGGCAUACGGAUUGUGGUAGGGAGCAUACGGAUUAUGGUAGAGGACAUACGGAUUAUGGUAGAGGGCAUACGGAUUAUGAUAGAGAGCAUACGGAUUAUGGUAGAGAGCAUACGGAUUAUGGUAGAGGACAGGCAAAUCACGAGAACCACCAAACACAUCAUGACACAUUAAGUAACAAAGUAAUAAACAAAAAAGGUAAUUAUUAUUUUGAUUUCCAAACAAAUAACUGGAAAGAGUUUGAUAUCAUUAUGAAAAGGGUAAAAAACGAAAACAAAAACGACAAAACGAAUAAUAGUAGUCCUAAUUAUAAUUUAAGAGAAAAAAGUAACAAUAUUAAUUAUGUUUAUAAUACACAUUCUACGAAUGAUUCUAAGGACAAAAAAAAAAAAAAAAAAAAACAUAUAGGGGACACAAACUUAAACUGCUCAUAUUUGCAAGAUAAUAACAGUAAUAUGUACAAACACAUAAACAAAGUCAUUAAAAAUGGCAACGGUACUUAUCCAAACAAGAAUAAUGAAUGUACGGAUAUCAUUAAUAAUUCCUAUAAAUAUAACUUUAAAAAUGGUAAACCAAACAAUAUGAAACAUUUAUAUACUGAAUAUUAUUCGAAUUUCGAAAAAACAAGCACAAAAAAAACAAGUGACAAAUUAGAAGCUAAGCACCAUGAGGAAGCCAAAAUAAAAGAGAAGGAAAAAAACAAUAAAUAUUAUUUUAUUAAGGAUUCUAUAUCUAACAUAAAAAAUAUUAAAAAAAAAAUUCUUAAGGGUGAAAAGGAAACAAAGCAACGGCAUCAUUCGGAAAUGACAUACAACGUGGACACACAAAAUAAUCAUACAAUUGCAUUAAACAACCAACAUGAAAUUUUUGAAUAUACAAACGGAAACAAAAACGGAAACGAGAGGAAAAACAAGAAUAAGAACGAGAGCGAUAAAGAAAGCAAUAAUAGUAAUAGUAAUCGUCCUAUGAAAAGAAAAUUA